This is a small nucleolar RNA of Callithrix jacchus (white-tufted-ear marmoset), 98 nucleotides long. NCBI's taxonomy places the organism in Eukaryota, Metazoa, Chordata, Mammalia, Primates, Cebidae. The record is from Ensembl.
GUUCUUUUCAUUUAUAAGUGUGAUAAUUGGGGUUUCACGCUCAUGUGUAAGAUGUGCCUCCACAAACCUGGUUACGAGUCGGCACGACCUGUCUGAUG